GCCUUCGUGGUGUAACAGUAGCACACUCGAAUCGCAUUCGAGAGGUCCAAGUUCGAGUCCCAGCGAAGGCA
This 71-nucleotide transfer RNA is filed under the name Stegodyphus mimosarum. It matches the Rfam family "tRNA". Rfam says of the family: Transfer RNA (tRNA) molecules are approximately 80 nucleotides in length. Their secondary structure includes four short double-helical elements and three loops (D, anti-codon, and T loops). Further hydrogen bonds mediate the characteristic L-shaped molecular structure. tRNAs have two regions of fundamental functional importance: the anti-codon, which is responsible for specific mRNA codon recognition, and the 3' end, to which the tRNAs corresponding amino acid is attached (by aminoacyl-tRNA synthetases). tRNAs cope with the degeneracy of the genetic code in two manners: having more than one tRNA (with a specific anti-codon) for a particular amino acid; and 'wobble' base-pairing, i.e. permitting non-standard base-pairing at the 3rd anti-codon position. The record is from Rfam by way of RNAcentral. Lineage: Eukaryota; Metazoa; Arthropoda; Arachnida; Araneae; Eresidae.